GAUGAAGAACGUAGCGAAUUGCGAUAUGUAAUGUGAAUUGCAGAAUUCAGUGAAUCAUCGAAUCUUUGAACGCACCUUGCGCCCUUUGGCUAUUCCGAAGGGCAUGCCUGUUUGAGUAUCAUGAACACCUCAACUCUCAUGGUUUGCCAUGAUGAGCUUGGACUCUGGGGGUCUUGCUGGCCUAUGGUCAGCUCCUCUCAAAUAAAUCAGCUUGCCAGUGUUUGGUGGCAUCACAGGUGUGAUAACUAUCUACGCUUGUGGUUUUCCAUCAGGUAACCUUCAGUGAUGGAGGUUCGCUGGAGCUCAUAAAUGUCCCUCCUCAGCGAGGACAGCUUUUUGAACGUUUGAUCUCAAAUCAGGUAGGACUACCCGCUGAACUUAAGCAUAUCAAUAAGCGGAGGA
Molecule: unclassified non-coding RNA, 402 nt
Filed under: soil metagenome
Description: partial contains 5.8S ribosomal RNA, internal transcribed spacer 2, and large subunit ribosomal RNA
Rfam family: 5.8S ribosomal RNA (bases 1-121)
Source: RNAcentral